AUUGAACGCUGGCGGCAUGCCUUACACAUGCAAGUCGAACGGCAGCACGGGAGCAAUCCUGGUGGCGAGUGGCGAACGGGUGAGUAAUAUAUCGGAACGUGCCCAGUCGUGGGGAUAACGUAGCGAAAGCUACGCUAAUACCGCAUACGAUCUAUGGAUGAAAGCGGGGGGAUCGCAAGACCUCGCGCGAUUGGAGCGGCCGAUAUCAGAUUAGGUAGUUGGUGAGGUAAAGGCUCACCAAGCCGACGAUCUGUAGCUGGUCUGAGAGGACGACCAGCC
RNAcentral lists this ribosomal RNA (279 nucleotides) under uncultured bacterium. Its description in RNAcentral is "partial 16S ribosomal RNA". It matches the Rfam family "Bacterial small subunit ribosomal RNA", at positions 30 to 309 of the family's 1533-position model. The record is from RNAcentral.